UGGGAAUCCUUAUGGCCGAAUAUCCAAGGUUUCCAGAGUAAAGCUGAUCUGCUCUGGGUAAGUCGGGGCCUAAGGCGAGGACGAGAGUCGUAGCCGAUGGACAACAGGUGGAGAUUCCUGUACUGCGGUAUGACAGAACUGUGGGGACACGUAAGGAAAGCGGAAGCCGGGAAUGGAAAGCCCGGUGCAAGCGGGGUACCAGCCACUUUGGCAAAUCCGGGUGGCAAUGGGAAGCCGUGAUGCGGAGCGAAAUAAAGUAGCGAAGUCCGUGAGCCAUGCGUCAAGAAAAGCCGCUAUUGUUUAUACCGUACCCGUACCGUAAACCGACACAGGUGGAUGAGGAGAGAAUCCUAAGGCCGGCGGAAGAAGCAUUGUCAAGGAACUCGGCAAAAUGGCCCCGUAACUUAGGGAUAAGGGGUGCCUGGGAAACCAGGCCGCAGAGAAUAGGCUCAAGCAACUGUUUAGCAAAAACACAGGUCUAUGCGAAACCGAAAGGUGAGGUAUAUGGGCUGACGCCUGCCCGGUGCUGGAAGGUUAAGAGGAGAGGUUAGCGCAAGCGAAGCUUUGAAUUUAAGCCCCAGUAAACGGCGGCCGUAACUAUAACGGUCCUAAGGUAGCGAAAUUCCUUGUCGGGUAAGUUCCGACCCGCACGAAAGGCGUAAUGAUUUGAGCGCUGUCUCGACAAUGCAUCCGGUGAAAUUGAAGUACCAGUGAAGAUGCUGGUUACCUGCGCCAGGACGGAAAGACCCCAUGGAGCUUUACUCCAGUCUGGUACUGGGACUCGGUAUUGCAUGUACAGGAUAGGUGGGAGGCUAGGAGAUGGUAACGCCAGUUGCCAUGGAGCCGCUGUUGGGAUACCACCCUUGCAGUAUUGGGUUUCUAACCAGCCGCCGUGACCCGGCGGUGGGACAAUGCCAGACGGGGAGUUUGACUGGGGCGGUCGCCUCCGAAAGGGUAUCGGAGGCGCCCAAAGGUUCCCUCAGAAUGGACGGAAACCAUUCGAAGAGUGCAAAGGCAGAAGGGAGCUUGACUGCGACACCGACGGGUGGAGCAGGUACGAAAGUAGGGCUAGUGAUCCGGUGGUAUUAAGUGGGAAUGCCAUCGCUCAACGGAUAAAAGCUACCCUGGAUAACAGGCUUAUCACUCCCAAGAGUUCACAUCGACGGAGUGGUUUGGCACCUCGAUGUCGGCUCAUCGCAUCCUGGGGCUGUAGUAGGUCCCAAGGGUUGGGCUGUUCGCCCAUUAAAGCGGUACGCGAGCUGGGUUCAGAACGUCGUGAGACAGUUCGGUCCCUAUCCGGCGUGGGCGUAGGAUAUCUGAGAGGAGCUGUCCUUAGUACGAGAGGACCGGGAUGGACGGGCCGCUGGUGCAUCGGUUAGACUGCCAAGUCUACGGCCGAGUAGCCAAGCCCGGAAGGGAUAAACGCUGAAGGCAUCUAAGCGUGAAGCCCCCCUUAAGAUGAGAUAUCCCAUUCGAAAGAAGUAAACCCCCUUGAAGACGACGAGGUAGAUAGGGCAGAGGUGGAAGUGCAGCAAUGCAUGGAGCUGACUGUUACUAAUCGGGUGAGGGCUUGAC
This 1575-nucleotide ribosomal RNA is filed under the name metagenome. RNAcentral's name for it is "bacterial LSU rRNA". It matches the Rfam family "Bacterial large subunit ribosomal RNA", at positions 1322 to 2925 of the family's 2925-position model. The record is from RNAcentral.